UCCUUGGUGGUCCAGUGGCUAAGACUCAGCACUCCCAAUGCAGGGGCCCAGUUUCAGUCCCUGGUCAGGGAG
RNAcentral lists this transfer RNA (72 nucleotides) under Capra hircus (goat). It matches the Rfam family "tRNA". Rfam says of the family: Transfer RNA (tRNA) molecules are approximately 80 nucleotides in length. The record is from Rfam by way of RNAcentral. Lineage: Eukaryota; Metazoa; Chordata; Mammalia; Artiodactyla; Bovidae. RNAcentral also lists the same sequence under 1 other name.